Bombyx mori (domestic silkworm) is the source of this 707-nucleotide long non-coding RNA. RefSeq lists it as uncharacterized. The record is from RefSeq and is a predicted model, not a curated record. The transcript has 2 exons. Lineage: Eukaryota; Metazoa; Arthropoda; Insecta; Lepidoptera; Bombycidae.
AGCUAAAAGACCGCUCAUUGAAUUUUAUGUCCAAACCAUAUUGUUUCUAGUGUAUUAUUUUUGGGUUCAACGUACUCGACGCUCGCUAAUGCUCUCGCACCGAAAUGGUACAUGGGAGUUUAAAAACGAAAAGGCGCUUUGAACAACGGCUGUCUUAAUACUUCAAACAGAAGCACUACCGAAUUGAAAUGCGCCUUGUAUUACCACUAGCAAUUUUCGAGUGGUAAGAUUCAUAGCUUGAAACACAAAUCUCGUGCACAUUACAGCCUCCACCAAUUGAAGCUAAGAAAAAAAUCUGCUUUAUUUAAUUUAGUUAUUUUAUUGACAACAUCAUCCUUAGUCUACAGACAUGUACUGCUGGAUAUAGACGUGCUAGCCACGUCCAGAAGAUUCCCGGAAACUUCAACUUUUGGCUAGGAGGUGCUGUUUAUUAAUGAAGAGAUUUAAAUUUACUGUUAUGAAUCGUAGCUUUAAGUGUUUAAGACGCUACCUCUGGAUGAUUGAUCAAAUAAGCUUCUUGUUCCAGUUGAAUUGUCUUUCCUAGUCUCCUGAUACAGUCGCUCUGGCAGGCAGUAAUAGCAUUUACGUUUUGAUGGAACAAGCCACGAGCAGGCAAUCGGUCCGUAUUUUGACCCUUCAUAACACGUUUGAAAGACAUUUUUGAACCAAAAUUGGAGGAGAUUUCGCAACGUUUUUUUCCAGUGGAA